GCCCUUAGAAAGUUGUGUUUCUGGAUACAACCUUUCCGGCGCUCGGAUGGCCUAUUUAAUUAUACAACUGGACCUAUUUGUGCCUGGGAUACUGGACUGAGUAUUCCUGCCCUCCGGACAGGGCAUCUUGGUUGUUCGUUUAAUGGGAUCCGAAGAGCUUUAGCUGGCAGCUCAGGGAACUAAGGAAUAUAAUCUCACUGAGUAACUGCAAAGAGCUUCAAGUUUCCAGUCCCUAAAUGACCCGCUACUGGCAGGAAAAGGGUUGUUAGCAGAAGAAGAGCCUGCCACAUUAGCCCGUAAGUCACGAACUCUCAAGUUUCAGCAGCCCACUUUACACCAAAAACACAUCAGAAAUCUGAGAUCUGGUAGGAUAUGGCAUGAUUUUCUGAACCAAAACUUUUUUGGGUUUAUAUAGUAUGUAGAACUACUCCUGUUCUGGUCUGCUGGGAGAAAAAGUCAGCUCUUACAAACUAGUUCUGAAACCAUAUAAAUCUAAAGGUCUUGUAUCUCAAAAUAAUCCAUUUAAUAAUGUAUGGAAGUUCCAUGUCACUAUGAUUUAACUUCCCUGAUGAAGUAAAAGCAAUUUCAGGACAGAAAUCUAUUUCUGAGGCAGGCACAAGUGCAGAAAAGGUUUUGAAGCAGUGAGGUUUGGUGCAUAUUGGCUAUUCUGAAGUAAGUCAUACUUUUUGUCUUGGGCCAAAUAUAGUCCCAGUUAUAUUUCACUGUUAUCACUGGAAUCCUCCAGAGUCAGCUGGAACUCUAACUCAGUGCCUUUAAAUUAUGGACACUGCUCCUUUCAGUCAGUAGAUAUGAUAAAGCCUUUAUCAUAGCAUGUAUCGCACAAUUCUUACUCUUCCUUGCUCUUUAGAGCCCUGUUAGAUGAAGUCAUUUGCUCGAGCAUGAAGAAAUAAAAACAAUAAACAGACAGUGGGUUUGAUCAGAUUUCAACAGCAUUCAGUUGGUGGAACAAAAUCACGUGAAUGACUGUACGUACACGGAGGACCACCAACACAGACAGAAUCAACUACUUUGUUGUUCAUUCUGACCCCAAAGCUCUGUCAUUCGAGGUGCCAGUGCUCUACCUUUCAGAUGGCCAUUAAGGAGAACAGAUGUCCUGGGACUGACUCUGGCUAACACCUCAAACGUAGGGCUCAGCUGAGGUAUGUGCUGUUAGAAGAGAACUGCUGUUCCAUACAGUGGGAAGUAGCAGACAGGUUACUAUCUCUGGAAAAGGCUGGUCCAUCACAAGAUUUCUUGUAUGCUGUUCACCAGCUUCAAUUCUGUUUUACCCUUUUGCACACAGAGAUAAAGCUCCAACAAUAUUCAGUGGAAACCUUCACAAACUGCGCACAGCAUGUCUCUAGAAAUGCUACAAGUGCAUUCUCUGGAACUAAGUUUGACUCAGCCUACAUACCAGUGACACUUCCUAACAUUCAAAGGCCUGCAUUAAUGACAACCCUGGAGGGUGAUCGUACACACAGUGUCCGUACUCACAGUUUUCACAGCGACUCCCAGUAUAGCCAGCGAGACAGGCACAUUUGUAAGUACCACUUUUGUCAAGAAUGCAUGUUCCAUCGUGAAGACAUGGAGAUGAAGAACAAGCUAUAAGAGAGAAACAAGAACAUUCAUGAUGUCUCAAUAGCAUGAGGUUCUGUCUUUCCUUGUUACAUUAUGGCUGGGGGUAAAUUGCAUAUUCUGGUAAAAAGUGAGGAAGAUACAGUAAAUGGCCUAAUGCUUGUUAAAAAGCUUUUUUACACUCACUGAAGAGGAGAUCUGCUAUGGAUGGGAAGUUCUUUCCCCAGCAUUCUUAUUCUUAACAUUUUUCUCUGACUACUGUCCAAAUGUGAGAAAGGUUUAUGGAAGAAAAAUAAUUUACAUCGAGCUCCAGCAGUGUUUAGGCUUAGCCUAAUUUAAAGAAGUAUAACACCAACCUACACUUCUCCUGCCAUUCGUCUCAGAAUUAAAGGAUGAGUUCCAGGAUCCAUAAUAAUUCUGUACUAUUACAUUUGAAGCACUCUCUGUGCUGCAGUCCAGAAUGACAGAUAUCAGAAGUGGCAGUUUUCCUUGAAAAUACUUCAGUUGAAGCAUGAUGUUUGAGUUGUACCCAGAUGGCAAGUGACAAGAGAUAUAUAGAUGCCACAUUUGGAUUUCUCCAGAGGUUUCAUAUACAGAUGUAAGCGCAACUUGUGUCUGUGUGGCCAGUGAAUAUCUCCCAGUUCUCUCUGAGGAUUAAGGUCUAACUAAGGACAGUAAUUUGUUCCUGAAGAGGAAUAUGUAUAUCUGGCAAUUGUACUGUGUCCAACUAACCUAAAAAAUCUCUGAGAAGGGGCAGGAGAAGGAGGAGAGCUUGUACAAACUGAUAGCUGUAGUCACUGGUUUGAAGCCAGAGUACUUUCAGCUUUGUCCUCACCCCAGCUUUUUUUCAUAACUGUGAAUGAAGAUAAGCAUCAGAUACCACCCUGGAAAAUGCCUGAUACUCAAGAGGAACAGAUAUUUUUCUCUUUAAGAGUCCUGAUUGCCUAACUUCAAACACCAUGGGACAAUACUGCAAAACAUUAAGGCCCCUAUUUUGUGUCAAAGAUCACUACAUUAUGGGUACGGAAAGUAGAGUGCUAUUGAAAUUCAACAACAGGCUUUCAUCUAAACAGAUCCAACAUAUGUCUAAUCCCUAGGAGAUCCUGAUGCCUCCCCAUCUGGCCCUCCACCCUUCUCAUAUGAAGUCUGCUGAGUGUCUUCAUGUCACUCAUGCCAAUUACUGGCUUCCAUUUGACAGUUGGCAUGGGAUGAGUGACAGAGCUCAGGGACCUAACACCUGCUUCCAGAUCAGGCAGCGCAGCAGGCUGUACGGUCUCUUCCUUUAAGAACUACAUACUGAGCAACCUUUCUAAAGGGGAAUAUAGGCUUUGAACUUAUUCUGUAUUAAUCAAAAUCUUUCUGGCUGUUGAACCAGUGACCUCCGUGCAGCCAAUGUCACUGCUUCAGCAGGCUAUGACUUAUAAGUCAGCACAGAGCUCAGUGGAAGGGAAACAGAAAGGGAAGCACAAACCACCUUUCUACUCCUCUCCAUUACACCACUAAGCUGCUGGCAACACCUGGUCAGCUCCACAUCCUGAAAGUGUUGCUGCAGCUCCCACCUGCACCACAGGCUAUUGCUCUAGCAAACCCUGCGCAGCCUCCUCCUGAGACCUCAGCUUUCCACAAGGCUGUGCACAGAGGGGAAUCUCAGGGGAAACGCUUCACUUUGUAACGCGUUGCCAGAGCUUUCGAUCUUGUGCUGCCCUUGCUCUCAAUUCUGCACUGCCCCAUGCACGCUGUAUUCUUCCCCAAAACUGUCCUGCUGGCCAGGUUAAUGCUGCACACAAAGAGACGCUGGGAGUAUUUUAAAAGCCUUUCACUGCAGUUACACAUUAGGCCAGAACAGCCUCAUAAUAAAGCGUACAAUGAGACCUCCUCACAAACUCUAAGAAGCCCUUUGCAACAUGCUCUGUGUGGAUUACCACACUUGCAACCACCCAGCCUCAGAAUAAUUACCGCUAAAAAUGGGGCGGAAAUAAAGUGCUCAACAGUAUUCGAAUACCAAGUGUUCCCUGCUGGGUAGAGAAAACAGAAUCAAUUCAGCUUGUGCCAUAUGGAAAAUGUUAGUUUCCUGAGUGUAGGCAGCCCUUAUGCAACAUAGCCCACACCACAGUCGUUUGUUCUAUAUCACCUCUCCUGCUGUAAGCCCAGGCAAACUAUCAAUAGCUAAGUGCUGCAGCUACAUUACUAACGGGUAUACUAAAGGUAACAGCUGAAGAACGGGGCAGGCUCAGGAAUGCCGUAGGCACCGCAUGCAGCGGUAUGCACACUUCAGAUUGCUAGUUACAACCCCGAUCACUGGCAACAGCUGAUCCAUGGUAGGUUUGUAUAUUUAUAGAAGGAUUAUACAAACUAAAUAAACUUCCUGAGCCAGAUAUACUCUGGACAACAUCAUGAAAUGUGGGUCAUCGGGGUGUGCAGAAGGCAAGUUACGCUGAGUCAUAGAUCCUGCAGGGUUUUCCUAUGGCAAAGCAGCGCUUCCUGAUCAGUCUUCUGUGCCAGAAGCACUGGGGAUAUAUUUGACCAAAAUUCCCUUCAUAGCUAUACAAGGGAAAUCCAGAGUGAGCGUACAUAUGGGUUGAAAUGCAGUGGCAAAAUGAGGAGAAAGCUAUGCUUUCUGACUUAUUUAGCAGCCUGAAAAAAAAAAAAAAAAAUAGAGAGCAAUGCAGGGCACUGAAGCACUGAUGCUAACAAAAGCACUGGAAUUCCAGAGCCCCGCUUCUGUCAUUCAUAACACUAAGUUCAUCACAGAAUGGAAAAGGCCUCUAUUUUCUCUUUCUUGAAGAAAAGAAUCUGUUCUUUGUACACGCUUUAUUUGAAAAGCCCUAAUGGUAUGAUACAUGAGCCAACACCAGAGGCAUGUCAGGGCAUUUUCACUGAAGUAAUUGUCAAGCUUUGCAUCAGGUUUCUCCUAACUGAGACGGUCACUGCUGCUGCACACAGCGUUGAGCAAUUCCACAACUGCAAAGACAUACGUGCCCCUUUCUCUGUCUUCUGUGCUCUUCGUUCUCAGGUUCUCACAGAAAAUUCCCACAAAACAGCAGCUUUUCUGUGCUCAACAGCAUGCUUGCUCUUCACACAGGUAGAGGGAACUUACUCUUUGUUAGGAGAGCCUCACAUUCACAUGCUAUGUGAUGGCUUUUGAACCUUCCCUGCGCUGACUUUGUGUAAGCUGCUGUAGGCAACACAGCAUGAAAGUUUUUAAUGAAGCAAAACAGGGAGAGAGAUUAGUGAAACUGAAUUAAUGAGAAUGAGCGUUCCACUUUUUGGAUUAUCUUACCUGUAAUUUCUUCAAAGACAGCGUGAAAUCCAUCAAAGUUCUUGGAUCCAUCGGACUGGAAAAGGACAUGGAGUGAAGACCCGGUGCUUCGAAUGGGAGCUGGCCUUUCAUUCCCACAGAACUUCUUAAUUACUCGGCUGUCCAAAUUGUCCCCAUCACGUACCUCCACAUAAUCAUACUGGCACAUGUAAUCAAACUCCAGGCUCAGCAUGGAAAACCUUGAGGAAUAAGGACACACACACACUUAGGCCUCUUACUCUCCCCUGUGCACCCUGCCUGAUGUAUUUGGAAUUUUGGUUAUGCUACUGCCCCCACCUCUGUGAAUCAGCAGGUGCUGAUAACACGAAGGCCCUCUCACUCCAUCUCAGUUUUUGCAUCACGAUCCUUGGAAGCGACUUCACAGAGGUGCUCCAUGAAGGUUUUUAAGUGGCUGAACAGUGAGGUCUAAAUUGAGGUCAUACAGUCUGUUCACACACAUCAGGACCCUAACCAGUUCACAAUGUUAAAAAUUCCACCUACAGUCAGAUGCAGUAGGGGGUAUAUUUUUUUUCCUAGCUGUUUGCUAAAAAUUGUUCUCUUUCCCCUAAGUAGAGUCCUAGGUACUAAAAGUAAUGGUAUUAAAGACCAAGGAUCAAAAGCUGUUUACACUGAAAGCCAGCAAUUCUGGGGACAAUGAAAACUCAGAGACGUGACAGAAGAAGAAAGAGACAGAGAAAGGGAAUCUGAAACAGUACAGAACAUUAGAAAGCAAAAUGGUAGUAAACCCCUGAUGUCUUGCACUUGCCCUUCUUUUAAAGAUAGAAAUAAGGGACAGCAGAAGAGAAAUAUUUGAAGCUUUUUCCCACAACAUCUGUCUUUCCUAGCUUUGAUCCAGCCACUGCACAAGACUCUCGUUCAUUAACAGCAACGUUAUAUGCUGCUGUUUGAGUUCAGCAGGGCACAGAGCCAAAGCAUGCCACCAGAAUACGAAUGAGAAGCAGAGUAAGAAACACCAAGGGAUUCUGAAGAAAAAGCAAAGGCUUAGGGGUGCCUGGCCUAGGCCUGGUACAGAAGAAAAGAAUGAGAAGGUCUGGGCCUGGGAAAAGGCCAUGUUACUAACUGAAGAUCAUUUUAUAAAUGAAACUCCUAAUAUUCUCAGUCUUCUUGAGAACUCCUAAAUCCAUAUGCCGUAGUAUUUAGGUCAAACCUUCUCUGCUGCCUUUUCCAGUGGGGGCGUAGUGUUUUGGAAAGACUGUGUUUUCGCACCAAAUAGAUGAGCCAAAUUUUGGAUCUACUGCCAGAGAUCUCACAGUCUGAAGAGGCAAAAGAGUACUAGAGCCUAUUUCCUGCUCUUCUCUUUUGCAGACUCGGGCCAUAAGGAAGCUCCUGUGUUACAUGAAAUUACCUUUUACUGUCAACUCAUGAACUGACCUAAGAGUCUUUUUCACUCAGUCACCUUUGUUCAGACCAUGCAGUUGGUUUUAAAGCAUCAGGAGUACACUACACAAAGAGAAAUGGAUGAGCAGCUGUAGGAAGCUGUAUCAAUGGAGCAGAGCCCCUCAUUUUUUAAAUAAUCUGGUGGAGUAUAAAAUAAGAAAAAAAAAUGACACCUGCUUUUAAUAUUCAUAAGAGAUUUAUUCAACUUAGCUUUGCAUAAAAUGCAUGUGUUGGAAGGCUGAAUUCUAGUUCUGUCAGGCUUGCCAGAGACAUCUCCACUGGCAACAGGUUGUAUGCUAUGUCUUCAAAACAUCCUUUAGCUAGCAGGCCAAAUCCCAGAGACCUCCCCUUAUGGAAGUUACAAAGCAAUACAAAUUAACCAGUUUGUAGCAGAAAUGCUAAGUCAGGGCCUGAAGCAGUAAUUGAGCACCUGGUGGGAAGGCAGGGCCAACCCAGGGAGCUCAGGUGCAUGCAAUGCACUUGAGUGACUGGAAGAGGUGGAGCCAGGAUCCAUCCCUUCCCAGACUUCAUUUAAGGGUUGACAGGGGAGGUGAGGGUGUUUUGCUGAAGAUCCCUGCUUACCUGAGGCCUUUGUAAGCUUUUCUACAGAGAAUGUUUUAGGUCAGCCUGGAGCACUCCUGAGAAAGUACUGGAUGUUUUUGUGUCAAGGUGUUGAAGAGAUCUAGAGAGAUACGUUGUGCCCAGUAUCUGAGAAACUCUCCUCCACAUCCAGCUGUUCCAUAUGUGGGAACUGAAGGCAAAGCACUGAUGAUCUGUGCAGUGGCUGCCCAUCACAAGCUGGGCCAGGUGUAAGCUGAAGUUGUCAGAUGUGUAGUGGUGGUGCCCCAGGGCUCCCAGCUGCUGACUCUCAUUGACUCUGCUGUGAAUGCCUUAUUAUCUACCUGCAACCAGGACUGGCUGAAAGCCAUUAUGACCUACCUUAAUUCAAUGUUAAAUCCAGCUUGAACAUGGAUGGUCCAUUCGCAUCGUGCAUUCAGUGGGUAACUCUCCAGCAAAAUCUGACCUCUAGGAGCCCGAAAAACCUGUCCGCACCCUGGGAAGCAAAAGAAGGGAAAAAGGCUGUCUAAGGAACCUUCAAAUUACAGCUGAAGAAAAUACAAGUGGGAAUCACAUUGGAAUGAAAUGAUAGGGUGGUUUAGGAAGAUACUACUUUCUCACAAGGCAGUAACUAAAAUAAUAGAACAGCCACAGAAAGGUUAUAAGGAGUCAUGAUUCUACUAGAAGUACUGUCUACAUUAAGACUGACCCAAGAAAAGUUUUACUUUCUUGCUUCUCCCUGCUUUGCAAAGCAGCUCUAUGAUACUAUUUCUUACAGCAUUUGCCUCGUUCAGGUUUAGCCCAUCUCCAGCUCACGAAACUUUUGAUAGAUCUUAUGAUAACCUGCAUAAUCACUGGAGCUGAGGGAACUGGUGGGACAUUGCCAAAGGCAUAAUGAACACCUGAAUUAGUCCUUCACAAGGAGAUAUUUGGAGGAAAAAGUUGAUCUGUUCCUACAGGGUGUGUCCAUUUGCCUUCAGGGUUCACCACAUCGUCCUCACAUGUUGGAUGCCGGCAUACCAAUGGAUGCAUGAAAUCACCAGGACUUCACCUUGCUGUAGCUGGUACAGCCUGAACUCUCUGAAGGAAACAGGCUUGGCCAGCGAAGCAGGUGGUCCAGGGGCCAGAGAGGGAAGCAUUCAAUGACUUCCUCCAAAAGAACGUUCUCAGGUUUUCUACCAGCAUUCUCGGUACAGAGCACCUGUGACCAGAUCUGUGCUCCUGUAUCCCCAGCCCUUCUCCCAGAGGUUAAGGUGACUCCCCACACCAACAGUUCAAUCAUCUGUUGAUCAGGAGUCCUUCCUCUUCCCAUCCUGAAUUUGCGGGAGUCCUGGAAAGCUCUCAAGAAUAAUUUACAUCCUAAACACAAACGCUGGCAAAUGCUGCCUUAUUUACAAAAAAAAAAAAAAUAAUCCACUUUGGCAGGCUGUCAACAUCCUUGUUCCGUUCCUGUUCCUGAAAAAAGGCAGCUUUCAGGGCCGCAGUGAGAUUUCCUCUGAGGCUUGUUACUAACAGAAAACAAAACAACUCAAGAGACCUCCGAGUUCCUGCCCAUAACGACCCGUGGGUCUGAGGACGGAGAGGUCCUGAGGAGACCUCCAGUAAGAGCCCACUACCUGCUGUUCCAGUGCCACAGCAUCGGUGCGGGGCUCCCUCAAAGGUCAAGUGGGCGAAGUGGGGAGGGGCAGCAGAAAUGCCUCUGGUGUUCACAAACAGGCGGAUAUGGGAAGGUAGCUGCCACUGUCCCACCUGGUUGCUAUCUGAUGCUUACGGCUGGCUGGUGUUACAGGGGAUGUGUCAUGUGCAGAGUCUCUGAAACUGCAGUUACUGCUGUCACGGGGGCCGCAUUCAGACGGCAAGCAGAGGAAAGAUGUUGGGUAGCACUGCUUCCUUCUCUGCUCUAGUGGAGCACGUCUUCUGGAACGGUGUGAAAAUCUGAGCCUGAGUGCAUGGUGCAGAGGAAAGGGUCCAGCAGGAGGUUGGCUUUUUUCUCUGCUUUUAGACUCUGAUGUGUAUUUUAAGGGGUGACAGUGCAACCUAAUAAGCAGACCCACAAGGAAAUAUCCUGGUACCUGACUGCCUCCACUUACUGCACUGUUAUU
Gallus gallus (chicken) is the source of this 8931-nucleotide long non-coding RNA. RefSeq lists it as uncharacterized. NCBI's taxonomy places the organism in Eukaryota, Metazoa, Chordata, Aves, Galliformes, Phasianidae. The transcript has 5 exons. The record is from RefSeq and is a predicted model, not a curated record.